RNAcentral lists this transfer RNA (64 nucleotides) under Cherax parvus. RNAcentral's name for it is "tRNA-Ile". Lineage: Eukaryota; Metazoa; Arthropoda; Malacostraca; Decapoda; Parastacidae. The record is from RNAcentral.
AGUAUGGUGCCUGAUUAAAAGGAUAGUUUUGAUAGAACUAAUAAUGUAGUACCUACCCAUACUA